UACGGGGGGGGCAAGCGUUGUUCGGAAUUACUGGGCGUAAAGGGUGCGUAGGCGGCUUUCUAAGUUGGAUGCGAAAACUAUGGGCUCAACCCAUAGCCUGCAUCCAAAACUGGAGAGCUUGGGUUCUGGAGGGGAAAGCGGAAUUCCUGGUGUAGCGGUGAAAUGCGUAGAUAUCAGGAGGAACACCAGUGGCGAAGGCGGUGGUCUGGGCCGAUACUGACGCUGAGGUGCGAAAGCGUGGGGAGCAAACAGG
This 253-nucleotide ribosomal RNA is filed under the name uncultured bacterium. RNAcentral's name for it is "partial 16S ribosomal RNA". It matches the Rfam family "Bacterial small subunit ribosomal RNA", at positions 524 to 776 of the family's 1533-position model. The record is from RNAcentral.